CUUGGAUGAUCUGCUAACUAGAAGCUUUCAAAAACAUACGAUUAAAAAUUUAAAUAAAGAAAAAUAUUCUGUAUUUUCUAAAGAUGUUACACGUCUACAGAUGAUACUAUACGAUUUGGUAAAAUGGAAAAGAAAACUUACCACUGUCGCGCCCAUCUUCUCCGUGCUUCGUCUCUUUCGAGAACAUUAAUAGGUAAAGUAAUGUAAAUGAAUUUUUUAAAAAUUAAAUAAGUAGAAUAAUUUUUGUACCUUUUGUAUAAGGGUUAAUUAAUAUAAUUUAUAAAUUUAAUAAUCUCGAAAAAAGAAGAGCUAAAUAUUUAAUUAUGCUUUUGUGGAAUAAAGAGUUAUAAUAUAUAUUUAGAAAUUAGACGUUAAUCGAAUCUUUUUAUAUUUUUUUAUAUUUUUUUAUAUAAUUUACAAAAAGCAUUGAGUUCGAUCUAAAGAAGAGUCAGCUUCGCUAAUAAACGAACACUAUUACAGCUGCGAACUAUCGAUCAGAAC
Molecule: unclassified non-coding RNA, 501 nt
Filed under: Bombus terrestris (buff-tailed bumblebee)
Lineage: Eukaryota; Metazoa; Arthropoda; Insecta; Hymenoptera; Apidae
Description: misc RNA ENSBTSG00005037451.1
Source: RNAcentral